UACCCUAUCCAUUCGGGGUAACUCUAUCGUGACUAGCGUGGAUGGUAACGUCUAGGUUAGAAAGCUCACGAGACAAUGUGGAAGUUCGAGUAGCCUAAAACUGGGACAACUGCUAGAGUAAGAAUGCUAUGGAGAAC
Molecule: non-coding RNA, 137 nt
Filed under: Anaerovirgula multivorans
Lineage: Bacteria; Bacillati; Bacillota; Clostridia; Peptostreptococcales; Natronincolaceae
Source: RNAcentral